UGUGUUUCCUCCAUGUAAGCUGUGGAAAGAAGGGAGAAGCCAAGUAUUUUUCAGUGAAGACGAAAACAAUUGUCUCAGUCUUUGUCAAAAGAGAUGGUUUUGCAGGUCCAGGGUACUUCAUUGAGACUGUAUUCUAGAUGAACAGGAAACUGACUGAAGAAAUGGGUGUCCUUCCAGAUUCUUGGACACUUCAGAUGACUCCUACUGGACAUUCUCAGGUAGACCAGCAACAGGAGCUCUUGUGACCAGGCCAAUUGCAAAUGAAGUCACUUGUUAACCAAUGCCAACGAAAA
Oxyura jamaicensis (ruddy duck) is the source of this 293-nucleotide long non-coding RNA. RefSeq lists it as uncharacterized. The record is from RefSeq and is a predicted model, not a curated record. Lineage: Eukaryota; Metazoa; Chordata; Aves; Anseriformes; Anatidae. The transcript is spliced from 3 exons.